This 429-nucleotide ribosomal RNA is filed under the name Chloroflexota bacterium. RNAcentral's name for it is "Chloroflexi bacterium partial 16S ribosomal RNA". It matches the Rfam family "Bacterial small subunit ribosomal RNA", at positions 355 to 776 of the family's 1533-position model. The record is from RNAcentral. Lineage: Bacteria; Bacillati; Chloroflexota.
UGGGGAAUAUUGCACAAUGGGCGCAAGCCUGAUGCAGCCAUGCCGCGUGUAUGAAGAAGGCCUUCGGGUUGUAAAGUACUUUCAGUCGGGAGGAAGGUGGUAAGGUUAAUAACCUUAUCAAUUGACGUUACCGACAGAAGAAGCACCGGCUAACUCCGUGCCAGCAGCCGCGGUAAUACGGAGGGUGCAAGCGUUAAUCGGAAUUACUGGGCGUAAAGCGCACGCAGGCGGUCUGUCAAGUCGGAUGUGAAAUCCCCGGGCUCAACCUGGGAACUGCAUUCGAAACUGGCAGGCUAGAGUCGUGUAGAGGGGGGUAGAAUUCCAGGUGUAGCGGGGAAAAGCGUAGAGAUCUGGAGGAAUACCGGUGGCGAAAGCGGCCCCCUGGACAAAGACUGACGCUCAGGUGCGAAAGCGUGGGGAGCAAACAGG